Molecule: transfer RNA, 83 nt
Filed under: Schistocephalus solidus
Lineage: Eukaryota; Metazoa; Platyhelminthes; Cestoda; Diphyllobothriidea; Diphyllobothriidae
Rfam family: tRNA
About the family: Transfer RNA (tRNA) molecules are approximately 80 nucleotides in length.
Source: Rfam by way of RNAcentral
GGCAUCAUAGCUCAGUCGGUAAGAGUGUUGGCUGUACUAAAGCCUUCCAUUUGCUAGCAUGGGUUCAAAUCCCACCGAGGCCG